GAUGAACGCUGGCGGCGUGCCUAAUACAUGCAAGUCCAGCGAACGGACGAGAAGCUUGCUUCUCUGAUGUUAGCGGCGGACGGGUGAGUAACACGUGGAUAACCUACCUAUAAGACUGGGAUAACUUCGGGAAACCGGAGCUAAUACCGGAUGAUAUUUUGAACCGCAUGGUUCAAAAGUGAAAGACGGUCUUGCUGUCACUUAUAGAUGGAUCCGCGCUGCAUUAGCUAGUUGGUAAGGUAACGGCUUACCAAGGCAACGAUGCAUAGCCGACCUGAGAGGGUGAUCGGCCACACUGGAACUGAGACACGGUCCAGACUCCUACGGGAGGCAGCAGUAGGGAAUCUUCCGCAAUGGGCGAAAGCCUGACGGAGCAACGCCGCGUGAGUGAUGAAGGUCUUCGGAUCGUAAAACUCUGUUAUUAGGGAAGAACAUAUGUGUAAGUAACUGUGCACAUCUUGACGGUACCUAAUCAGAAAGCCACGGCUAACUACGUG
RNAcentral lists this ribosomal RNA (497 nucleotides) under uncultured bacterium. RNAcentral describes it as "partial 16S ribosomal RNA". It matches the Rfam family "Bacterial small subunit ribosomal RNA", at positions 28 to 507 of the family's 1533-position model. The record is from RNAcentral.